UUCGUCGGCUGGCGACGCGAGGAGCUCACGGCGGAGCUCCAGCGCCAUGGCUCCGGCAGGAGACGUGGCGCACGGCGGCGACGGCGGCUCUCCUCAGGAGGAUCUCGGGCAUUGAGAGGUUGGGCUGUGUGCUGCCCCAAGGACAGAGCCCACCGACUGCUAGUCAUGGGCCACCACCACCACGCCUUCGACGGGAUACGACCUCCACCACUCCAGCGAGCAGGAGCAUCGUGGUGGCUGCGGUCUAUUGAAAUCUUAGUUUCUUCAUCUUCUUUGAGAUUAUGUUUUGUUUGCAUCUGAUAAUUGGGAUGACCUCCUUUCUUUCAGGUUUGUACUGUUAAUUAAGAUGAACUUGAGUGACGAGGAUGAUUUAGAAAAUUAUAUCUUCUGACCAGAUAAAAUCAGUGUUGCCGAUCUGAGUUGAUUUUUUUGAUAAAGGGAGCUUUAAGAUGUUAGUUGAUUUGGAAGAUUAUGUCUCUAGACCGGAUAAAAUCUGUGCUGCUGACGUGAGUUGAUUUGGAAGAUUAUGUCUUCAGACCGGAUAAAAUCAGUGUUGCUGAUGAAGUUGGCAUGCAUGCUGUCUGCAAAAAUCGGUAUGCUAUCCCCCAAGGAAUUCGAGAAGGGUUACCGAACCAACUUCCAGAAGCUUUAGACAGACUUUGACUUCUACAAAUGACGCAACAAACUGUUAAAGAGGAUGCUUUAUUUCAUACGGGUGACAAUUAUUAACACUAGAGUUGAAUUUGUGGACAGUCGCCUCUCACAGUAAUAUCCUUGUAUAUUGGUGCUCCUAUAGUGUGCACAUUCAGUCUCAUCGGUGUUGUUAAGCUACUUGCCUGUACAAUUCCAUGGAGCUCGAGUGUCAUGGGAGUUGAUUCCCUGCAAGAGAGAAGAAUUCAAAAGGGAGAGAGCAGAGAAGAAGGAAAAGGAUAGGGCGGCGGGGUCGUGGGUACAUGCGCGCACUAAAGGAUGCAGACGAAUGGCUCGGGCAGGACCACAGGAGACGUGGUGCACGGCGGCGGCGGCUCUCCUCGGGAGGAGCUCUGGCGUUGAGAGAGGUUGAAGAGAAUAAGUAAGGCCAAUGUUUGAGCAGGAGAGUGAAAAGAUCCAAGAGUGAUACAUCCAAGCACUUGAUUUGAGUCAAACUUGGUUUGCUGUACAGAAUUCCACCGUAUUUGUCCACACAAAUAGUUCUUGAUAUUUAGUUCAGAUUGUUUUUCUCCAUAGUUCAGUGUCUACAUCUGUAUUCUCCUAAUAUAGUCAUACUGUCCAUUUUAUAAAGUGCAAAUGUACUUUGGCUAAUUGAUUUUAGUAGA
Triticum dicoccoides is the source of this 1316-nucleotide long non-coding RNA. RefSeq lists it as uncharacterized. Lineage: Eukaryota; Viridiplantae; Streptophyta; Magnoliopsida; Poales; Poaceae. The record is from RefSeq and is a predicted model, not a curated record. The transcript is spliced from 3 exons.